Molecule: long non-coding RNA, 254 nt
Filed under: Callithrix jacchus (white-tufted-ear marmoset)
Lineage: Eukaryota; Metazoa; Chordata; Mammalia; Primates; Cebidae
Description: lncRNA (ENSCJAG00000080885.1)
Source: RNAcentral
UUCAAACAAACUGUUCAAACUUCCUUUGUCUCUCUUUUCCUGCAGGUACACCAUCAGAGAAGGAAUGCAGAUUUUCACCUAUCCACAAAGCUUGGCAAGCUCUUUACUGGGUAAAGGCCACUUAGCUCAAAUUCAGUUAGCUGGCUCCAUGAGACCUUGAAGUGUUUGGGGCUUAACUGUACAGGAAGAGAACGCUCUAUACACAGCCCUGCUGCAUUUUCUCACAAUGGGUUCUAGCUCCUCCCUUGAGGCCU